RNAcentral lists this ribosomal RNA (464 nucleotides) under Vreelandella stevensii. RNAcentral describes it as "partial 16S ribosomal RNA". It matches the Rfam family "Bacterial small subunit ribosomal RNA", at positions 338 to 794 of the family's 1533-position model. The record is from RNAcentral. Lineage: Bacteria; Pseudomonadati; Pseudomonadota; Gammaproteobacteria; Oceanospirillales; Halomonadaceae.
CCUACGGGAGGCAGCAGUGGGGAAUAUUGGACAAUGGGCGAAAGCCUGAUCCAGCCAUGCCGCGUGUGUGAAGAAGGCCUUCGGGUUGUAAAGCACUUUCAGUGGGGAAGAAAGCCUUGGGGCUAAUACCCUCGAGGAAGGACAUCACCCACAGAAGAAGCACCGGCUAACUCCGUGCCAGCAGCCGCGGUAAUACGGAGGGUGCGAGCGUUAAUCGGAAUUACUGGGCGUAAAGCGCGCGUAGGCGGUCUGAUAAGCCGGUUGUGAAAGCCCCGGGCUCAACCUGGGAACGGCAUCCGGAACUGUCAGGCUAGAGUGCAGGAGAGGAAGGGAGAAUUCCCGGUGUAGCGGUGAAAUGCGUAGAGAUCGGGAGAAAUACCAGUGGCGAAGGCGGCCUUCUGGACUGACACUGACGCUGAGGUGCGAAAGCGUGGGUAGCAAACAGGAUUAGAUACCCCGGUAGU